Molecule: long non-coding RNA, 1259 nt
Organism: Magallana angulata
Lineage: Eukaryota; Metazoa; Mollusca; Bivalvia; Ostreida; Ostreidae
Exons: 3
Source: RefSeq, a predicted model, not a curated record
AAACAUCCAUGAUUGUCUACGGUUUGUGAAAGAAGAUGUGUACAUGAAUUACGACCCCGUCCGUCCAAUUUUACGAUAUUCUGCGACUUCAACAAUUCACUAACGGGACCUGGUGUGUGUUCUCAUAGGUAACGUUAUCUAUAUCCCGUUUUUUAGCGAUUUAUCAAGGCUUCAUGGUACUGCUGAUUUUCGCUAGGUUCAAAAUGGGGCCAGUGACACUCCAGUCAUAACAUUGUUGCCCGUCGAUGCCAAAGUUAUUGUGUGCGAUGUACCAGAGACGUGGAUGUAAUUUAUUAUACAGCAGUUUGAACUUGUGUAUAUUUGCGUGUAAUGUGUGAAAAUAUCUGUGUCAACUUUUUCUAUUGUUUAUUUCAUAAUGUCAACAUUGAUAGUGGGCGAUUCGCAUGUGAAAAUACUCAAAACAUUCUUAGGUUCACGUCGUUCCGCUAAUUUUGUGUUUAAUAUAUAUGAACUCAAAGAGGUGAACUAUUUCGGUAUAAGUGGAGGACUUGUGAACAAUGGUCACCAUCUAUCCCUUAUUACAUCUGCAGUACGACGGUGUAGACCUCAGCACCUAAUUGUUUUUAUUGGAGGCAAUGAUUUGGACUCGAGUGAACUAGAUUUUAGUUUGGAAUGUAUUGUUUCUAAAUUGACUGCCAAUGUGACUCAACUUAAAAGGUGUUUCCAUUUAAAGUCUGUUACCGUGCUUAGUUUUCUCCCUAGAGAAGUGACUUAUUUAUAAUCAAAGAGUCAAAAAAGCCACUAGACUUCUUAAGCAAUUUUGUGCUUGUCACACAGUAACAUUUUGGAAGCUGAGGGGAUUCGCGGAAAGUCAGAAACCUAUCUUAUGCGACGGGGUUCAUCUUAAUGACUUGGGGUUCCAUAAAAUGUUUAGACAGAUUACAGGUGUCCUAUUAAUUCAGCUAAGACAGGAACCCAAGCAUAGUCCUUCUGUAAACAGCAAUGACGACAGGGGCUUCUAGCUUUCAAAGCAUCCUGAUCAAUCUGCAGAUAAGACUUUCCAUCACUUGUUAUAAUUUGUUUGGAUACAGAUUUUGAUGGCAUCCACACCAAAACGCAGGAGGCGGAACAAGACAGCCUCGCAUCCUCCCACAGAAACCCAACCUCAAAGCGGUCUUAUGUCUCAUGAGGACAGGGACACAAUGAUAAGGACGUACAUGGCCUCUAUCAUCCCAACCAUUGAAAAUACUUGUCGACGCUAUAUGGAUGAAUACCCUCAUGGUGAGAGCAAUCCUUCA